RNAcentral lists this transfer RNA (30 nucleotides) under Rhodocoma capensis. Its description in RNAcentral is "partial tRNA-His". The record is from RNAcentral. Lineage: Eukaryota; Viridiplantae; Streptophyta; Magnoliopsida; Poales; Restionaceae.
GGCGGAUGUAGCCAAAUGGAUUAAGGCAGU